GACGAACGCUGGCGGCGUGCUUAACACAUGCAAGUCGAACGGGCCUGUCUUCUUUUUUGGGGGUGGGUUGAGUGGCGAACGGGUGAGUAUCACGUGAGUAACCUGCCCUUCGGUCCUGGAUAACCGCUUGAAAGGGCGGCUAAUACGGGGUGGUCCGGUUGGUCCGCAUGGGCUGGUCGGGAUAGAUUCACUGUUUUUGGUGUUUCGGCGGGGGAUGGGCUCGCGGCCUAUCAGCUUGUUGGUGGGGUGAUGGCCUACCAAGGCGGGGACGGGUAGCCGGCCUGCGAGGGUGGGCGGCCACACUGGGACUGAGAUACGGCCCAGACUCCUGCGGGAGGCAGCAGUGGGGGGUAUUGCACAAUGGGCGGAAGCCUGAUGCAGCGACGUCGCGUGAGGGAUGGAGGCCUUCGGGUUGUGAACCUCUGUUUCCGGUGGUGAAGGCCCUGUCCGUGUGGUGGGGUUGACGGUAGCCGGGGAUGAAGCGCCGGCUAACUACGUG
RNAcentral lists this ribosomal RNA (499 nucleotides) under uncultured bacterium. RNAcentral's name for it is "partial 16S ribosomal RNA". It matches the Rfam family "Bacterial small subunit ribosomal RNA", at positions 28 to 507 of the family's 1533-position model. The record is from RNAcentral.